This 425-nucleotide ribosomal RNA is filed under the name uncultured bacterium. RNAcentral describes it as "partial 16S ribosomal RNA". It matches the Rfam family "Bacterial small subunit ribosomal RNA", at positions 354 to 796 of the family's 1533-position model. The record is from RNAcentral.
GUGGGGAAUAUUGGACAAUGGGCGCAAGCCUGAUCCAGCCAUGCCGCGUGAGUGAUGAAGGCCUUAGGGUUGUAAAGCUCUUUCACCGAUGAAGAUAAUGACGGUAGUCGGAGAAGAAGCCCCGGCUAACUUCGUGCCAGCAGCCGCGGUAAUACGAAGGGGGCUAGCGUUGUUCGGAUUUACUGGGCGUAAAGCGCACGUAGGCGGUUUGUUAAGUCAGGGGUGAAAUCCCGGAGCUCAACUCCGGAACUGCCUUUGAUACUGGCAAGCUAGAGUCCGGAAGAGGUAAGUGGAACUCCUAGUGUAGAGGUGGAAUUCGUAGAUAUUCGGAGGAACACCAGUGGCGAAGGCGGCUUACUGGUCCAUUACUGACGCUGAGGUGCGAAAGCGUGGGGAGCAAACAGGAUUAGAUACCCUUGUAGUCC